CUCAGACCUCUGCCAUAUGUAAACACCAGUAGAUGAGACAGGUCAUCACGAGACACCUGAAGAACAAGAUGCUUCCAAAGUAAAAUCUUUAAUAUGGAAUUCCUGGGAUGCUUUGUAUAUUGUUGUAUUUCACCUGAGGAAAAGGACUACAUGAAAAGGAUUACAAAUUUAACCCAAACUUACCAAAAAACAAACAAUAGUUCCUGUUUAAAGUCAACUGAAGAGUCAAGAGGGAUGUAUUCCAGCUUCACCAGUCAAGUCCAGUUCUUCAUCAAAGUUGUUGUUUCAUCUGUGUAUUUGCUGUGCUGAUAAAAAAUGUGUGUCUGCAGGUCACAGCUGUUAUUGGUGGUUCUGUUGUCCUGUCAUGUUCUUUAACUCUUGAUCAUGAUCUUAAACUCCAAGGCAUUGAUGUGAGCUGGAGACAUAAUGACAGCAAGAUUGUAUGUGACAUAAUUCCAUGCAGCACUUUGCCAGUGACACAGGACCCAGAGUAUGAGAACAGAGUUGAAACUUUCCCUCAGGAGUAUCUGAGAGGAAAUUUCUCCAUCAAACUCAACAAUCUUAAACACACUGAUGGAGGACAAUACAUCUGCUACAUCAAAAACGUAGAUGAACUUAAGACUGUAAAGCUGAUCAUUAAUGGAUCAGUAUCCACUGGACAGGAGAGACCGCUGCCAUCGCUGCAUUUGCUCUGGGUUUGCAUUAUAUUACCUGGCUUUAUAGUGGUUCUAUUUUCACUGUAGUUUUCUGAAGAGAAAUGUUGUAAAUGACAGACCUGUACUGUAGCUUUGCUUUCCUGCAGCAACUGCAUUAGCUUUUGUAUUAAACAUUGAGUCAGAAGCAUGAAGUAGGAUAUCUGUCUUCUCUCUUUCAUUCACUAUGAAAUUAAAAUAUUGUGAGGACGUAUAUGCACAUGUUCUAUGAUUAUCCACACAUUAGUAAACUUUGGGAUAAUGUGACAGAGUUAUUUCUAGGUAUGCUAAUAUUUGUUUGCUUAAUAAUAAUGCUGACCUUAAUUUGAAUGCUAAUCAGCGUAAGAUGUGUCAUACUGCACUAACUUCUAAUUUGUAAAACUUGGUAUAAA
RNA transcript from Labeo rohita (rohu), 1084 nucleotides. It is a transcript of the gene named CD276 antigen homolog, with no coding region annotated. Lineage: Eukaryota; Metazoa; Chordata; Actinopteri; Cypriniformes; Cyprinidae. The transcript is spliced from 5 exons. The record is from RefSeq and is a predicted model, not a curated record.